GACGUAGGUGGCGAACGUUAUCCGGAAUCAUUGGGCGUAAAGGGUGCGUAGAUGGCAUAAUAAGUUAUUAGUGGGAAAUCGAGGCUCAACCUCGUGGAAGCUGGUAAUACUGUUUUGCUCGAGUGCAGGAGAGGUUAACGGAACUCCAUGUGGAGCGGUAAAAUGCGUAGAUAUAUGGAAGAACAUCAAUAACGGCGAAGGCAGUUAACUAUUCUGUUACUGACAUUGAGGCACGAAAGCGUGGGGAGCAAAACGG
Molecule: ribosomal RNA, 256 nt
Filed under: uncultured bacterium
Lineage: Bacteria
Description: partial 16S ribosomal RNA
Rfam family: Bacterial small subunit ribosomal RNA
Source: RNAcentral